UAAACAAAUAUUUUUUAACUACCGAUCAAAAACUGGGUGCUCUAAGAUUACAGGCAUUGUCAUCACGUAUACCAUAACAGUUAUCCAAUUCCAAAAAACUAUCUAGAUUAGGUAUUACAAUGUAGUCUAUUCGAGAAAGGCCCAAACAAUGACAGAAAAUCAACAUUACCUAUAGCUUAUGAGAUGCACGUUUUUAUGAAUCUUCUGAUUGUCUGUGUUAAAAAUUCACGGCUAAACCAAAGCACGGAUUUGAAUGGAACCUAUGAAAGAUAUUGAAGAUCCAGAUUAAAAAUAGGACAAUAAAAAAAUCAACUCCUAGAAGGUUGAAAUAGUGCCCUAACUUAAUGUGGGUUAAAUCUUGUAGUACAGCUAGUCAUAUAAUAUGUAUUGAUGUUCGAUUUAAGGCUAGUUUUCAAAUGGUUUAUGAUUAGAAUUUUGCUAUUUUCUCAGCACUCGUGUUAAAUUUAAUAAGGAUCUCGUACAUAAGCUUUUCUUACAAGAUUAUCAAUAUACCUAACUAGGUAGGAUUUUUAACUAAAAAUCCUUGGA
This is a long non-coding RNA of Colias croceus (clouded yellow), 549 nucleotides long. RefSeq lists it as uncharacterized. Lineage: Eukaryota; Metazoa; Arthropoda; Insecta; Lepidoptera; Pieridae. The transcript is spliced from 3 exons. The record is from RefSeq and is a predicted model, not a curated record.